UACGGGGGGGGCAAGCGUUGUUCGGAAUUACUGGGCGUAAAGGGCUUGUAGGUGGCCAACUAAGUCAGACGUGAAAUCCCUCGGCUUAACCGGGGAACUGCGUCUGAUACUGGAUGGCUUGAGUGUGGGAGAGGGAUGCGGAAUUCCAGGUGUAGCGGUGAAAUGCGCAGAUAUCAGGAAGAACACCCGUGGCGAAGGCGGCUCUCUGGGACGUGACUGACGCUGAGACGCGAAAGCGUGGGGAGCAAACAGG
This 253-nucleotide ribosomal RNA is filed under the name uncultured bacterium. Its description in RNAcentral is "partial 16S ribosomal RNA". It matches the Rfam family "Bacterial small subunit ribosomal RNA", at positions 524 to 776 of the family's 1533-position model. The record is from RNAcentral.